UGCUCUCUUGGUGGAAUAGGUAGACACAGUAGACUUAAAAUCUAUAAAUUAUCGGUUCAAGUCCGAUAGAGAGUA
Molecule: transfer RNA, 75 nt
Filed under: Cafeteria roenbergensis
Lineage: Eukaryota; Bigyra; Bicosoecida; Cafeteriaceae
Description: tRNA-Leu
Rfam family: tRNA
About the family: Transfer RNA (tRNA) molecules are approximately 80 nucleotides in length. Their secondary structure includes four short double-helical elements and three loops (D, anti-codon, and T loops).
Source: RNAcentral